This 781-nucleotide long non-coding RNA is filed under the name Setaria viridis. RNAcentral describes it as "long non-coding RNA (SVIR_LNC005622)". The record is from RNAcentral. Lineage: Eukaryota; Viridiplantae; Streptophyta; Magnoliopsida; Poales; Poaceae.
CUUCCGGAUCCGCUCCCAGCACCUGGCUGCUCACCGGCGCCGCUUGGCUCUGUGGCUCGGCCUCGGCCUGGCUCACGUGGGAGCCUGCCUCCGCGUCGGUGUCCUCCGACCCCUGCAGUUGGUGAUCGUGGCUGCCAGCGGACUCCUCGUCGUGGCUCGGCGCGCGGCCGUCGUCGUGCUCGACGACCAUCGGCUCAGGUUCCAGCUCCUCCGGCUCCUGGUGUUGCCUCGAAGGAGAGCUGGGCGAGGCGCGCUUGUUGUUGUUGACCUUGCCCUUGUGGUGGGGCUUGGAGCAAGUGGAGGAGGCGGCGGCGCGCUUGAACCGCGUGCGCCCGCCGCGGGCGACGUGGAGAUCGGCCGCCGCGGCUGCGUCGGGGUCCUUAGCGACGUGGCGGAUGUCGUAGGCAGCAGCGCCCGGCGCCCUGGCGCCGAGCAACGGCGGGGCCGCGGCGGCUUCUGACGCGGCGUCGACCUGCACGACGGGGUCCCCCUUGAGCACGGCCUCGACGGCGGCCUGGCACGCCUGCCACUGGCCAGACCAGAGCAGGCCGACGGAACCGUAGACUGGGUUGACGAUGCGGCCGCACGCCUCGUAGAGCAGGGAGCGGAAGACCGCCGGGCGGAGGUGGUCGGCGGGCGCGGCGGCGAGCAGGUUGAGCAGCCCGGCCCGGCCGUAGAACUUGGCGAGGAAGACGGUGGCGUUGGCCUGCGCCUCGGGGGUCUUGAUCCACUGCAGGCAGGGGCGGAUGGUGCAGGCGUCGCUGCAGCCCUUGCGCAGGAC